AUUGUGUUCAAUGCAUUAUGUGAGUAUGCAAUCAAAGAAGUUGGGUUGUUUUCCAGAAUUGGCUCUCUUCUAAAUGUCAGCAC
This 83-nucleotide long non-coding RNA is filed under the name Nannospalax galili (Upper Galilee mountains blind mole rat). RNAcentral's name for it is "Deleted in lymphocytic leukemia 2 conserved region 5 (ENSNGAG00000009276.1)". It matches the Rfam family "Deleted in lymphocytic leukemia 2 conserved region 5". The record is from RNAcentral. Lineage: Eukaryota; Metazoa; Chordata; Mammalia; Rodentia; Spalacidae.